GGGGAUUUAGCUCAGCGGCAUAAGCACCUGCCUUGCAAGCAGGCCAUCGUGAGUUCGAUUCUCGGUACCA
This is a non-coding RNA of Cavia porcellus (domestic guinea pig), 70 nucleotides long. The record is from Rfam. Lineage: Eukaryota; Metazoa; Chordata; Mammalia; Rodentia; Caviidae.